This 2780-nucleotide long non-coding RNA is filed under the name Homo sapiens (human). RNAcentral describes it as "HSALNT0408598". Lineage: Eukaryota; Metazoa; Chordata; Mammalia; Primates; Hominidae. The record is from RNAcentral.
UGAUCAUGAACUGAUUAGUUAAGAGAAGGAGAGGGGGCCAGACUCCAACAAAAGUCAGAUUUUGGUUGAAGUCAGAGAGAGGUUGUGAGAUUGCCAUCCCUUGACAUCUUUUUAAAAGUGAAUUGUUUAAUCACUUUUUUUUAAGCUGAUUUCUUAGCCAUCUUGCAGAAAUAUGAGGCAGGGGCACUUAUCCAUUAGGUACAGUAGGUAAGGUAACUAAGCCCAAUGACACCCUUAGCAGCCCAUGAAAAUGGUUUAGUUUCUUUCAUAAAAUGGUGCUGAAGAUAAUGAUAGUUGCAAAGGAAAAAAUACGGUAGACCAAUAUCAUAGUAUGUUACCAAGCAUAGGGCCUAUUAUUGGAAGCUAUUUCCAGUGCUCAGGAUAUUAACAUCUCCUGGAGCGUCUGCAAAACACAUCUUGAAGGCAGAACCAUAGUCCUCAAUUUGGCCUGCCUCUUUUAUUUGACAAUAAAGUUUUAUUUAUUUCUGAGCAUAAGAUUGGGAUUUUAUUUCUAGAAAAAGGGAGAAAAGGUGGAAGGAGGAGGAGGCAGGGAAAAGGUGGAAACUUGCCCAGGCCCAUAGCAGGAGCCCAACACAGGGAACACUUAAGCUUGUGUAGAGUACUUGUAACCAGAAGCCCGGAGGUGGAGCACAGCAGAGGAUGCAAUGUGCCACUGUCGCGGCCAGAGCCCAUGCAGUGUAAACAUUAACAUUCUUGGAUGCACUAAGCACUGGGCUGCGGUCUACACUUGCAUUCUGAGGUGGUGGAGUCAUGGCCAAAAUUUUGGAGUACUUGGACUUUUCUCAAGAAGCGUUGCACUUCUUGUCCGGACCGGGGAUUACCGCAGAUCGCAGCCCAGAGUCUGCGGAGGCGCACCGUUUCAUCAACAGCAGGGACUGAAACUUCAGCCCAGGAGAAGCCAAGAUGGCACCGUUAUCGCACCCUGGGAAUCGAGGACCGGGAAGAACUUAAUGAUGCGAUUCCUCCCGUGAUCUCAGUGAUUGUAUCAGGCGAAAACGAGGAGGGCAAAAUACCGUCCAGAUGUAAACUAGGAGCAGCCGCACCAGCAGCACCAGCAGAAUGCCGUGGUAGUGCGGCAGGCCCUGGCCCCAUGGACAAAGAGAAACUCGUCAGUGGCAGUGGCCACGAACUCAGAAAGCCUGAGGACAGUCAGCAGCUCCUCUGGCUCUUCACUUUCACACUGGUGCAACUACAGGAGCUGAAGAACAUUUUUCAACUCGUUCCAUACCCGGACGUGUUAGAUGGAGUCUCCCUCUGUCGCCCAGGCUGGAGUGCAGUGGCGCGAUCUCGGCUCACUGCAACCUCCACCUCCCGGUUUUAUGCGAUUCUCCUGCCUCAGCCUCCCGAGUAGCUGGGACUACAGUGGCCUCAGGGAUAUGGAAUUAAGAUCCACCUGGUGUGAUGAAUAAACCCAGACUCUCAGCAACGCAGGAAAAAAAAAACAAAAACUGGCUGGCGAUCUGGAGUAAAGGAUCCUCACAUCCACGUGAACCAGGAAACUCUGUGCCCAAAUCGACGAAAAAAAAACACUGGGAGAGCCGAACUAAAAGUCUUUUAGCACGGGUACCAGCCCUAGAAUUUCCAGUACACCAGCAGCAGCCUGGAAACCACAUCCUCAUCAAAAGACAGAAAGAAAAAAACUCGAGCCAGCCUGAGAAGGACCCUAUUUUAUGCUGUUAACCACUGAGACUGCCAUCCUCACAGCUGAGAAAGGAUGGACCCACCAUACUCAAGUCAAGAAAACAUCUUCCUCGUCAGAAUCAUGGGUUACUGUACUAGGAUUAAGCCUUACUAAGUUAAAGUUAAAGAAAGCUUAAUUUUCAUAUACCUUCUAUAUUGCUUCUUUUCCUUUCCUUAUUCUGUUACUAGCUCCUUUGUUAUUAAUGUAACUAAGUCUGAGUCACCUCAGACCAUUGCCUUUUAUGCUUGCUCUGUCAUACCUUGUGGAAAUGUAAAAGAUCAAUGACAGCUAGCCUUUUCACACAAUUAUUUAUGCCUCGGCCCUCUAAUUGACACAGUUACCCCUAGCACUCAUCGUUGUGAUCACCUGCAGCCAAGACGCUGAUUUUCUGCUCCUAUAGCCUGGCAACCUUGUGGUACAUGGGACUACGUCCUUUAAACUACCCAGGAGCAAAGUUGGACUUCCAUGAAAAAGGUUUGUGCAGAUCUAAAACCUCUCAUCUAUUUCACUAAAAGGACUUCCCCUUCUAACUGUCACCCUUACCAAUGUAACCCUGUCCUCUCUAUCACCACCUCCACCUGUCUUUAACUAACUCUAGACCUGUCCUUAAUUGCUUUUAUGGUAUUGGAAUAGGAAUUAAAAGAAAUUAAAGAAUGUGUAAGGAGAAACUCAGUUGUAUGUAAGAAAACCCAAUUCCCCCUGAGAAAGAGAAAGAGUUGGAGUCCUUUAAAAAUUAACUGCCUGUUUUUCUGUGGCUAGUGAGCCUUAUCUCUCCUCCUUUCCCAGACAUUGUGAAGACCCUGUUUCUCUAGCUGUGCAGCUGCAAGGUCACUAGACAGAUAAACUCAAGUUGUAAAACAUGUUUUUCCUUGAAAAGUAAGAAAUGCUGUAAUGCAUUUCUCAAUUAAUUAAAUAACUGUCUUUGUUUCUCGCUUCUGUAAUAUGCUUCCCCCUGCACAGAUCUCCACCCACCCUACAAAAUGCUUAAAAGGUAACUUAACUCUUUGUUCUGGGCUCAGUCCUUUGGGCUGAGUACUGGGCCGGUGCACCUAAAUAAUAAAUAUCUUCCUGAACCCCA